GACAGAGGGAUUUGGCGGGAAAGGUGGUGGCGCGAAUCCACGUCACCAGAUUAAAGCGUUCGCGCUCGACGCCGGAAUCCGAAAGCGUACCGCCGAAAGGCAACACAGCCACAACGAGGGCGUUACUUCGCCAUAAUCACAGUCGGCAUCAAACCGGACCACAGCCCGGCCCAGUUUGUUCCUCGGCCGCUCGGUGCUAGUACCAGCCCAAAUCACAAGGGCCUCGGAUUUUAAGAUAGACUCGCGACCAAUCAGAGCCGAUCUUCGUGCCACGUGUACUCUCGCUCGAGGGAGUGGAUGGAGAGGAGCGAGUGAGCGACCGAUAGUCCGAUACCCGAACCCAAAAAAAAUCAUCCGCGAGAAAAAACAGAAAAAAAGAAAAAAAAAAAAA
This is a long non-coding RNA of Ananas comosus (pineapple), 391 nucleotides long. RefSeq lists it as uncharacterized. Lineage: Eukaryota; Viridiplantae; Streptophyta; Magnoliopsida; Poales; Bromeliaceae. The transcript has 2 exons. The record is from RefSeq and is a predicted model, not a curated record.